GCUUCUGCCGCCUCUACCCUUCCUGGAGCAACCCGUGCUUUUGAAAAAUGACCAUGCCGAAGGGGAACUAACACUCCCAGCCUGGAGCGGGUCUUGUCAAUCUGAUUUUUAAAUGAUGGAGGAGGAGGUUUGAGGACAAAGCUCAUGGUGGCAUUACCGCUAUCAGGGACGCUGCAAAAAUCAAGUGAAAAGGGGGAAAGGCUCUUCUCAAUGUGAGCACAUUCACAGACUCUGAGGACAGAGAGGUAUUUAAAGUGAACUGGAACAAACCUGCAACAUCCGGUGCGUUCUGCCUUCAAAAAUAGCUGCCAGUUAGAAAGGGUUAUUUACAUAUUGAUUUCAUGCUAACUUUGUAAUGGAAUGUGCUGCCUGCCUGCCUGCCUGAGACCUAACAACUGUCAUCAUAAUUUUUUCUAAAAAUACAGUCAGAGAAAAACACUCAUUGAACCCUCCACUGGAAAGUGGCUGCAAAAGACCCCCUGAUCCCAAACCUGCUUGACAAACCACAGCCAAGGGCAGGGACACUCAACAACUGUAACCGAGGAACAUUUCACAGCGGCAGCUGGCCCCUCCCUUCUUCCAACCAGCCAAUAUUUUUUGUCCUUCUAGAAAACCUGUCUUGUUCAAAGGCCUGAUGGAGCUGAUUCGGUUGUGAUCCUGGGCAUAUGGAUGGCAUAUUUGCUGCGAGCUAGCCGGCCCCCGCUGCUGCGGACAAAUCUUUCAUUCAUGAACAGGAGCUUGUUAGGCCAACUCCGGACUCUAAAGCCACUUAAUUAAAUUGUGGAAAGUU
This 790-nucleotide long non-coding RNA is filed under the name Pongo abelii (Sumatran orangutan). RNAcentral's name for it is "lincRNA". The record is from RNAcentral. Lineage: Eukaryota; Metazoa; Chordata; Mammalia; Primates; Hominidae.